AUAAUAGGAUACAAAUCUAAGUUUUAUGAAUAUUCUGAAAUUAAUAUUAUCUAAUAAAUCUCUGAAGUUAAUUCAAUAAACAGUGACUUGUAGGGAACUGGAAGCCAAAUUGAAAGAAUUAGAUUAAAAAAACCAUGCUGUGACUAUAGCGGAGUUUGAAAAUAUUUUUGCCUAAAUUAAAAAUGUUUAAAUCCUAAUUUUACUGCCAACUCAGCUAAUAUACAAGUUUAAGAGGCCUAUUCGUAGCUUAAACUUGAGAAAUUCUCAGCAACUUUAGUUUAGCUAUCAUGGCUUAAAUUUAUAAUUGUGGCAAAAAAAAAAUGAAAAGUUGUGCCACUUCCCCAGCUGAUUUGCAGCAAAAUCUAAAUUGUAUUAAAUAAAAUGGCCACUUACGAAGGAUAGAUAUACCUUUAAUGGAG
This is a non-coding RNA of Pelobates cultripes (western spadefoot toad), 419 nucleotides long. Lineage: Eukaryota; Metazoa; Chordata; Amphibia; Anura; Pelobatidae. The record is from the annotation of a GenBank genome assembly.